CGAGUUUGCUUUUGAUGGGAGA
Molecule: microRNA, 22 nt
Filed under: Tribolium castaneum (red flour beetle)
Lineage: Eukaryota; Metazoa; Arthropoda; Insecta; Coleoptera; Tenebrionidae
Description: tca-miR-11627-3p
Source: miRBase by way of RNAcentral